UACGUAGGUGGCGAGCGUUGUCCGGAUUUACUGGGCGUAAAGGGAGCGUAGGCGGAUUUUUAAGUGAGAUGUGAAAUACUCGGGCUCAACUUGAGUGCUGCAUUUCAAACUGGAAGUCUAGAGUGCAGGAGAGGAGAAUGGAAUUCCUAGUGUAGCGGUGAAGUGCGUAGAGAUUAGGAAGAACACCAGUGGCGAAGGCGAUUCUCUGGACUGUAACUGACGCUGAGGCUCGAAAGCGUGGGGAGCAAACAGG
Molecule: ribosomal RNA, 253 nt
Filed under: uncultured bacterium
Lineage: Bacteria
Description: partial 16S ribosomal RNA
Rfam family: Bacterial small subunit ribosomal RNA
Source: RNAcentral